Molecule: non-coding RNA, 557 nt
Filed under: Beta vulgaris subsp. vulgaris (sugar beet)
Lineage: Eukaryota; Viridiplantae; Streptophyta; Magnoliopsida; Caryophyllales; Amaranthaceae
Description: Bacterial large subunit ribosomal RNA
Rfam family: Bacterial large subunit ribosomal RNA
Source: Rfam by way of RNAcentral
CAGAUAUCUCCGGGAGUGAGGCUGCGGGUGCUAAGAUCCGUGGCCGAGAGGGAAAUAACCCAGAAUAGCAGCUAAGGUCCCUAAUACAUGGUUAAGUUGAUCAAACGAGGUAGGACUUCUAUAACAGCCAGGAUGUUUGCUUGGAAGCAGCAAUUCAUUUAAAGAGUGCGUAACAGCUCACUGGUCGAGAGGUCUGCACGGAAAAUAAUCGGGCAUCAAACUAUGAACCGAAGCUCUAUGAUUGCCCUAAGCGGUAUAUCGGUAGGGGAGCAUUCUGACUGCAUCGAAGGUGUACGGCGACGUAUGCUGGAGCGGUUAGAAAAGAAAAUGUAGGCAUAAGUAACGAUAAAUAAGGUGAAAAACCUUAUCGCCGAAAGUCUAAGGGUUCCUGAUCAACGUUAAUCGGAUCAGGGUUAGCCCGGUCCUUAGUCAAACCCGAAAGGGGUAGACGAUGGAAAGCAGGUUAAUAUUCCUGCGCCCACUAUGCAUUAAAAGUGACGGAGAAUGCUAGCACUACAGGCUGACGGAUUAGCUGAGUGGAUCCUUCGGGUGAAGCG